GAGUUUGAUUCUGGCUCAGGAUGAACGCUAGCGGCAGGCCUAAUACAUGCAAGUCGAGGGGCAGCAUCAUCGCUUGCGAUGGAUGGCGACCGGCGCACGGGUGCGUAACGCGUAUGCAACCUACCCUAUACAGGGGGGGGGCCCGGAGGGGGGGGGAUUAAUACCCCAUGGCAUCAUAAAGUAGCAUUGCUUAAUGAUUAAAGAUUUAUUGGUAUAGGAUGGGCAUGCGUCUGAUUAGUUAGUUGGUGAGGUAACAGCUCACCAAGACGAUGAUCAGUAGGGGUUCUGAGAGGAUGAUCCCCCACACUGGCACUGAGAUACGGGCCAGACUCCUACGGGAGGCAGCAGUAGGGAAUAUUGGUCAAUGGGCGAGAGCCUGAACCAGCCAUGCCGCGUGCAGGAAGACGGCCUUCUGGGUUGUAAACUGCUUUUAACAGGGAACAAAAAGGCUCUGCGGAGCACAUUGCGUGUACCUGAAGAAUAAGCACCGGCUAACUCCGUGCCAGCAGCCGCGGUAAUACGGAGGGUGCAAGCGUUGUCCGGAUUUAUUGGGUUUAAAGGGUGCGUAGGCGGGCAAUUAAGUCAGUGGUGAAAUACUUCGGCUCAACCGGAGAGGUGCCAUUGAAACUGGUUGUCUUGAGUACAGACGAGGUAGGCGGAAUUUAUGGUGUAGCGGGUGAAAUGCAUAGAUACCAUAAGAACACCGAUAGCGAAGGCAGCUUACUGGACUGUAACUGACGCUGAGGCACGAAAGCGUGGGGUAGCGAACAGGGAUUAGAUACCCUGGGUAGUUCCCACCGCUUGUAAAACG
Molecule: ribosomal RNA, 811 nt
Filed under: uncultured bacterium
Lineage: Bacteria
Description: bacterial SSU rRNA
Rfam family: Bacterial small subunit ribosomal RNA
Source: RNAcentral